CAUUUAUAAUGAAUUUGUAUUAAGGAAGAUGAGAGCACUUAAUUUUAUGCAAUAUUUUUAAGUCCUUUCUUUGCAGGCAAUCAUAGAACCGUUCUUCAAAGCAUCCAAAGUCACUGAAAGAUGACGAAAAUAUGAAGACUGUAAGCAGAUUGAUUUCUGAAGCGUGUAAAAGACUGUUGUGGUUACCUCCCAUGGAUCUUUUCUAUCUAGCUGUGGCUGCGGAUGGCGGGGAGCAUGGUGUCACCUUUCCUAUCACAGGAAGAAGGACCAGGACAUAAACUAACAGCUGCCAGGGAAGGGCUGUGACCUAGACCUUACAUUAAAAGCUCUUCAAAAGGCAACAGCAUCAAGCAUGCUGUGGGAACAAAUAUUGUGAUGCAGCUGAAUGUCAUUGGGAAGCAAGGUACUGUAUAUCAGCCCUACAUAAUGAAUGCAAAUUGUAUUUUUAGGAUCCAAAUGGGAAAGCAUAAAAGGCUACAAAAGCUUUAAUUUAUGAUUUAUUCAUUUAAAGCUUCAGGCCAUUAAGUACCCAUUAAAUAACUAUUUUAUAUGCUGCUAAGUGCAUCUCUAUCGUCAGAAUAAAAAGAUUGUUUUAGUUCA
Molecule: long non-coding RNA, 600 nt
Filed under: Anser brachyrhynchus (Pink-footed goose)
Lineage: Eukaryota; Metazoa; Chordata; Aves; Anseriformes; Anatidae
Description: lncRNA (ENSABRG00000014968.1)
Source: RNAcentral